GUGGAUGAAUGUACUUAUCAAAACAAACAAACCACGUAUGCUUUCAACGAAAUGCUCGAGUGAACUUGCUGUUACCUCGAUUGAAACCACGUGCCGAUUUAAUUCUAGUGUUACUCCAUAUUUUUAGUGUUAACCGACAACAAAAAUGCAAUUUCAAGGAGUCAUGAGGAUUAUUUUACCGACGCUGUGGGCUAUUUCAACCAUAGCAGAGGAAACCACGAUGUCGCCGACAGGCAGUACUACUGCCAUCAACACCAAACAUAUCACGAAUUCGAGUGCCAAUAACACGACGUCCAAGAACAAUCACCGCAACUUUUUCAACGCUUUCGUAGUAGAUAAUUCAAUGAUACAAAGAACAUUGUACGUCCUUAUUGGAAUCACCACAAUUGGAGUGCUCUAUUUCCUCGUGAGAGCUGUGCGGCUGAAGAAAACAACAACCUCUCGGAAGAAAUAUGGCCUGUUGUCAAACUAUGAUGACAGCGUGGAGAUGGCUGCUCUGGAGAGUGAUGAGGAGGACGACACUGUAUAUGAAGCCAGGUCCCUGAGAAGAUAAGUCCGGGUCUUGUCAAAGAACACACAUUGGACUAGGGAAAGAAUGGAGACAUUCCUAAAGCAUAUUUUUCAAUGGUUAUUAUGGCAUAUCAUUGUUUUUCUUAUUCCCUUGGCCAUGAAAACAGCAAAACUGGCUAUCAAAAUGACUGCUCUAUUUUCUGAUGAACUCAUGUUGUAUAGCUGCCUGGGUAUGAAGAAAACAUAGUGUUUUUGGUGACCAAACCGACAGUUGAUUCUAUCUAUGAAGAGGAAGAAAUGGGAUUUGUAACAUUACAAGACCAACCAGUUGUGCUGGGUCUGAUGCCAAAGCUGCUUGAGUGAAUGUGAGCAGGAUAAUUUUUUCAAAUCAGCUCAGCGACAAUGCGUUGUAUUGUGUAAAGUGGACCACCAUGUUCCCUCUGCCCAUAUUGAACUGUGCAUAACAAAGACAACAAUGAACAAAAUGAAAUAUCUCAAUUAACCCGGUCGAUGUGUUGCCAAGGUUUUAUUUCUUUGUCUCCUAACAAAAUACUGUUGCCAUGUCAUCCUAUAUAUUUUGACGUCCACCUUGAAUCAUACUUGGACCAUUAGUUAGGCUAGUUGCUAAUAGCCUGAUUGUGUUUACAAACUACUGUAAACUAAACCAGCCUACCAAUAUCCCCACCCCAUUUGAACUAUGCACCAGAAUGUUGUACUGUACGAUGUACCUGCUCUAUUUGGAAGACCCAGACCUAAUAUGUUCACAAUACUAUUAACACAAAGAAGUUUCUCAGAAAGCAAGACUUAAGACAUUUUUACAAUCUCAGACAGUAUGGAAUUUGUCUCUAAUUAUAGCUUAGGAAAUGCAGACUAAUCAAUAUGCAAUUCCACUGGCGAUCAAAAAUAUCACGCCCUCCUUUAUGUUUACCUGCAACUUUGUAGGAGAAGAUGUUACUCAUAUCAGUUAAACUUGUAAAAAAAAAAAAGAUGGGAUUUUCUAAAGCAUGACUAAUUUCAGAGCUGGUUCUUUUCUUUUUGUUACACAUGGUUGCUGUUGACUGAUUGAAAUUGUAUUUAUGUUUAUGAAGUUCAUUUUCACUUUUUGAAACAUUUACUCUGUGAUUUGUCCAGAGAACUUGCUGUUGUAUUAACACAAGACACUAAAAUGUUGUUGUUUUUUUGUUUAAAAAAAAAAUCCUUUACCAAUCCUUGGUUAUUCAAAAUGUUAGUUUUUGAAUCUAUUGUGUAUUACGUUUCCAAACCAUACUCAAGUUGCUGAAGCACUUUUUAAGUGGAUCCCUGGAAGUCUCUGUCACUACUGUGCUUGUUUCCAUAGCAAUUGCUAGGGGGAAACCCAACGAUAUGACACACUGCUUUAUACAUUGUAAAAUCUUGGUUAAUUGUACCUUUCUUUCCAGGAGGUAACUGUAUUGAUAGUAGAAUGUGAGGUUACCUUCCCGAUAAUCAGAAGAGAUGGUUCUCUCUUUAGGGAAGCUAUCCUGCUGAGAAUACUCCCAGGUGUCUCUCUUGUGAUUACACAUAUUGGAAAAAUUGAUUGUACCCUUUAAACAAUGUCAAUAUCUCUGACAUUUUGCUCUGGCUAAAGUAGCAGGCCCAUUAAUCUGGCUGAUCACCCUGAUACCCUCCCUAAUGUAUCUCAAGUCAUUUUGGAUGCUAUUCAAGAAGCGAAACUUGUUAUUGUGUUUCUGGGAUAAGUGUAAAACUAUAUUUUCCCUCAUGACAGAAAAUUGCAUUUUUGAAUUAAUAUAGCAUCUCCUUUUUGAUUCGUACUGUUAUGUCAAGUACGUGUAUCCAAAUGUGUAGUCUUAUCUCAAAAACGUAUGCCACAAAACCCAGUUACUGUGCUUGUUUGAAUAGGGUCCAGAAUCUGGCAUCAAGUGCCAUGAGUGUCUGUUUUGCAGAGUAUGCACCUCACUCACUCACUCAUUCAGCCAAUGUAGACUAUUCUCCAGCCAUCAGAUCUCUAUAGAGAAGGAGUAGGGGGACUGGGAGCACACAGUUGGAACUGACUACCAGGGAGGGUUUCUGAUGAUAUAGGACAGAUAUGGGAGAAACCAUGGGGGAAUCAUUUGGGGGUGGAUGUGGGGGAGAAACAAUACGUCUGUACUAGAAAGGGUCAUAUUUUGUAAGAAUGUAAAUGCUGCACCUGAGCUGGAAACAGCAGCUGUUGGGAUGCCGGAUCACAUCGUUCGCUGGUGUAAUAAGAUUUGUUUCGUCUUAAGGUGGUUUUCUGUCUGCAUUCCAUUCAGUCUGUGCUAAUCUUGUAUUUAAUGCUAGCGAUGUUAGUCACAUGAUUAAGGCCUCAUUGAAACUUCAAUGCUCUGACUGGAUCUAACAAAUAUAAUGAUGACCUUCUCAGUUUGAAUAUCUAAUUUGUUACCAAUACAGUUUUGACUUGUUUUCAUGGGUUUUUUCUCGCCAUCCUCUGUCAACUGUAUGUACAUUGUGAUCGGCAAUAUCAUUCCUUUGUCAAUACUUUGGCCUGUGUGAUACAGAAGUCAAAGUCGUGUUGGGAAUGAGUUCAAAGUCUGUGUGUAUUUAGUCUUGUGUUCCCUGUUGAAGACUAGUAGUGAGUGCUGUGUGGAUGCAGCAGGGCCGAGGCCCUCUGGUUGGUGGUGGGUAGCCUUGUUCGAUUGUUCUGACACUUAGGCUGUUCCUGUUUGCUCUUUUCAAAUAACAAUGAAAAUAAAAACAGUGAAACUUUGACCAAAA
This is a long non-coding RNA of Salvelinus namaycush (lake trout), 3243 nucleotides long. RefSeq lists it as uncharacterized. The record is from RefSeq and is a predicted model, not a curated record. The transcript is spliced from 3 exons. NCBI's taxonomy places the organism in Eukaryota, Metazoa, Chordata, Actinopteri, Salmoniformes, Salmonidae.